RNAcentral lists this signal recognition particle RNA (100 nucleotides) under Mogibacterium sp. RNAcentral describes it as "signal recognition particle sRNA small type". It matches the Rfam family "Bacterial small signal recognition particle RNA". From Rfam's summary of the family: The signal recognition particle (SRP) is a universally conserved ribonucleoprotein involved in the co-translational targeting of proteins to membranes. Archaeal SRP consists of a 7S RNA and homologues of the eukaryotic SRP19 and SRP54 proteins. In most bacteria, the SRP consists of a 4.5S RNA and the Ffh protein (a homologue of the eukaryotic SRP54 protein). Lineage: Bacteria; Bacillati; Bacillota; Clostridia; Peptostreptococcales; Anaerovoracaceae. The record is from RNAcentral.
GCGGGGGCCCUGCGCAACAGGGCUCCGUGAAUCAUGUCAGGACCGAGAGGUAGCAGCAUUAAGCGAUCUGUCUUGUGUGCCGCAGACCAGCCUCUGCGUA